CAGCCGCCGCGGGAAUACGUAGGGUGCAAGCGUUGUCCGGAAUUAUUGGGCGUAAAGAGCUCGUAGGCGGUUUGUCGCGUCUGCUGUGAAAUCCCGAGGCUCAACCUCGGGCUUGCAGUGGGUACGGGCAGACUAGAGUGCGGUAGGGGAGAUUGGAAUUCCUGGUGUAGCGGUGGAAUGCGCAGAUAUCAGGAGGAACACCGAUGGCGAAGGCAGAUCUCUGGGCCGUAACUGACGCUGAGGAGCGAAAGCGUGGGGAGCGAACAGGAUUAGAUACCCCCGUAGUCCCUGUCUCUUAUAC
This 301-nucleotide ribosomal RNA is filed under the name uncultured bacterium. RNAcentral describes it as "partial 16S ribosomal RNA". It matches the Rfam family "Bacterial small subunit ribosomal RNA", at positions 509 to 807 of the family's 1533-position model. The record is from RNAcentral.